Molecule: long non-coding RNA, 533 nt
Filed under: Nicotiana benthamiana
Lineage: Eukaryota; Viridiplantae; Streptophyta; Magnoliopsida; Solanales; Solanaceae
Description: long non-coding RNA (NBEN_LNC013288)
Source: RNAcentral
AUAAUAUCCCAGUAAUAUCAUGAACAGAUGAUUUGUGAAUCAAGGACUCGGCGCUGGAGUGAUUCCCACAAAUGCCUUCGUGGAUUUCUCGUAGAACAUAAUCAAUGUCCCCCGGCCCCAAACAUAUCGCCAGUGGCCCGUCCAAUGUUCUCCUGUACACUGUUCCAUCUUCAUCUAAUACAAACCUAGCAGCUUUGCUUCAUAGGGCCCUCUAUUCUUUAUGGUCCGAUGGGAGUUUUCCACUCUUCAAAUAGUUGAUAUACGUAUUCUUCCAAUCACACGUCAAACUUGUUGAAUUUAUCUCAGCAUGACCCUCUUCGAUCAAAGACCUCAAUAACUGAAUGAUAACCCUUGGGACGAUGUUGUUUUCUUUGACCAAGGAUCCCAGAUUAUCAAGUGCAUCAGCCUCGCUAUUUUGUUCCAGAGGCACAUGAUCCAGUGUCCAUUCCUUAAAGUGGUGCAAAGUUACCUGUAGUUUAUCCAAGUACCAUUGCAUUCUACCCUCUUGAACUUCGAAACUUCUAUUUACUUGG